Molecule: transfer RNA, 70 nt
Filed under: Tanakia lanceolata
Lineage: Eukaryota; Metazoa; Chordata; Actinopteri; Cypriniformes; Acheilognathidae
Description: tRNA-Asp
Rfam family: tRNA
About the family: Transfer RNA (tRNA) molecules are approximately 80 nucleotides in length. Their secondary structure includes four short double-helical elements and three loops (D, anti-codon, and T loops).
Source: RNAcentral
AAGAUACUAGUAAAACAAAUUACAUCACUUUGUCAAGGUGAAAUUGCAAGUUAAACCCUUGCGUAUCUUA